Molecule: long non-coding RNA, 748 nt
Filed under: Ananas comosus (pineapple)
Lineage: Eukaryota; Viridiplantae; Streptophyta; Magnoliopsida; Poales; Bromeliaceae
Description: long non-coding RNA (ACOM_LNC014024)
Source: RNAcentral
UUUGCAAGGGUAUCUAUAAUACUUCUAAUCUUCCGAAGGGUAUGAAUGAAAUUACCCUAACUUUUAUAUAUGCGCUCAAUUUUCUUCGCUGAACUCUUAUCCAUUUUUAAAUUCCCCUACUCUCUCCUCCCUCUUCUUCAAACACCCUUCUCUCUCUCUACUUCGCUUUUUCUUUCUGUUAGGAUUUGAUUAGAUUUGUAGUUGAUUUUCUUAUUGUAUUAGGAUUAAUAUUUAAAUCUGUUGAAGAUAAAUUAAGAUUUAAAUAUUAAUUAGAAGAUAAACCUAACUAUAUUAGGAUUAAUAUUUAAAUCUAUUAGAGAUUAAUUAAGAUAGAUUUAGAUAUUAAUUAAAGUAAAAAUCCUAAACAUGUUAGGAUUGAGGUACGUUUUGGUGGAGCUUUAUAAAUAGCUCUUGAUGGGUUGUUUUUGGGGAUGUAUGGCUGGAGCUUUGGGUGUGCCGUAUCAAGAGAGAGAGAGAGAAAGAGUUAUUCAUGCUUUGAGUGCACCUAGUGCACAAGUGCACGAAGAUGUGUUGUCUUUUAGGUUUAUAGAAGACGUGAGAAGGGUAGGAGAGAUUCAAAAAAAGGGCUCGGGUUGUAGUUUCUCAGGUGUAAUCUUUUCUUAUUUAAUGAAUCUUAUUUUACCCGCAUAUUUUUUGUUUUUGGUUUUCUCUCUUUUGUGGUUGUAUCAAUUUUUGCUGAGGAGACGGGUUUAAGGUAAAAACCCGAUUUGACGCUUCCGUUGCGGAA